UAGGGAAUCUUCGGCAAUGGACGAAAGUCUGACCGAGCAACGCCGCGUGAGUGAAGAAGGUUUUCGGAUCGUAAAACUCUGUUGUUAGAGAAGAACAAGGACGUUAGUAACUGAACGUCCCCUGACGGUAUCUAACCAGAAAGACACGGCUAACUACGUGCCAGCAGCCGCGGUAAUACGUAGGUGGCAAGCGUUGUCCGGCUUUAUUGGGCGUAAAGCGAGCGCAGGCGGUUUCUUAAGUCUGAUGUGAAAGCCCCCGGCUCAACCGGGGAGGGUCAUUGGAAACUGGGAGACUUGAGUGCAGAAGAGGAGAGUGGAAUUCCAUGUGUAGCGGUGAAAUGCGUAGAUAUAUGGAGGAACACCAGUGGCGAAGGCGGCUCUCUGGUCUGUAACUGACGCUGAGGCUCGAAAGCGUGGGGAGCAAACAGG
This 429-nucleotide ribosomal RNA is filed under the name Gemmatimonadota bacterium. RNAcentral describes it as "Gemmatimonadetes bacterium partial 16S ribosomal RNA". It matches the Rfam family "Bacterial small subunit ribosomal RNA", at positions 355 to 776 of the family's 1533-position model. Lineage: Bacteria; Pseudomonadati; Gemmatimonadota. The record is from RNAcentral.